UAGAGAGCCAUGACGUCAGUGCAGUCGAAGAUCCAAAGCGAGUAGACGUGCAUGUAGCCUGUCACCAGCCACGGCAUGCAGAAGAGGCAGCACCGGGUGGAGAGAGGGAAAGGGAGUGGUGAGCUGGGGGAAUGAGUUAUUUGAGAACGGCCUUCUGGCUGGUGAGAAGCAAUGACAGAAGAGGGAGUGUGAUGAAUACCCAGCAUCACGACUCUCAAGGGAGGUUAUCCGAACAAAAGGACCGUGUUUUUACCGGAAAAUAUCGGAAAUGCAGGACGCCAAGGGAGUGUGAGUCUGUCUAACCAAAAUCUAGCCAGCCAUGGCCAAGCAGACUAAAGAUGAGGGGACGCUGAGAGGAGAGAGGGAGCGAGUCUCUCUCUCUGGAAGGCUCGGAAUGGUGGUCAUGUUCUUCGUCCUGCUGCGACGUGACAAAUGGAAGGGAGUGACGGGUAUGAAGGGACCGUGGAGUGAUGCUUGUGCUGUGUGUGUGUCUGUGUGUCUGUGUCUGUGGACAGUAUUCUGAAACACUGCUGCACCACAUCCUCACUACAUUCAGAGUCUUAAGUUAAAGUCACAAAGGUUUUUAAAGGUCUUUUUACGUUUCUAGUGACAAAUGAACAAGAUUUAUAUACUCAACGAGGUCAGUGUGUCAUAUUACACCAAUCGUCAUGAAUUUUUCUAUGGACUGAGUGCAGUACUGUACUGAUCAUUCACUUACAAUAUCAAGAUGUCUUAAAAGAAAAAAAAAAAUCACUUUUUAUGUAAAUUUACUACCCAUUUAAAAUGGGAUGAGUUUCUGUGUUUUUAAUCCGAUUUCAGUUUUCUUUAUAUAGAAUUAAAGAAUGAACAUUCCUCUACUUUUCCAAGUUAGACAAUCCAUGGAUUCGAAAAAUAAUAGUACUUAUGAAUUUUGUAUUAAUGUACUCAUUCUCUACUAUUUUUUUAAUGUUUCC
Scylla paramamosain (green mud crab) is the source of this 953-nucleotide long non-coding RNA. RefSeq lists it as uncharacterized. NCBI's taxonomy places the organism in Eukaryota, Metazoa, Arthropoda, Malacostraca, Decapoda, Portunidae. The record is from RefSeq and is a predicted model, not a curated record. The transcript is spliced from 3 exons.